This 477-nucleotide ribosomal RNA is filed under the name uncultured bacterium. RNAcentral describes it as "bacterial SSU rRNA". It matches the Rfam family "Bacterial small subunit ribosomal RNA", at positions 33 to 507 of the family's 1533-position model. The record is from RNAcentral.
AGUAGUUGAUCAGUGGCUCAGACACGCUGGCGGCGUGCCUAACACAUGCAAGUCGAACGAGGUCCAUCCUUCGGGAGAAGACCUAGUGGCGAACGGGUGAGUAACACGUGAAGAACCUGCCCCGAAGACCGGGAUAACCCUCCGAAAGGAGAGCUAAUACCGGAUACCCCCACCGAACCGCAUGGUUGGUGAGGAAAUGGAUUCCGCUUCGGGAGGGCUUCGCGGCCUAUCAGCUAGUUGGUGGGGUAACGGCCCACCAAGGCAUCACGGGUAGCUGGUCUGAGAGGACGAUCAGCCACACUGGGACUGAGACACGGCCCAGACUCCUACGGGAGGCAGCAGUGGGGAAUCUUGCGCAAUGGGCGAAAGCCUGACGCAGCAACGCCGCGUGGGGAUGAAGGCUCUCGGGUUGUAAACCCCUUUCAGCAGGGACGAAUCAAGACGGUACCUGCAGAAGAAGCCCCGGCUAACUACGUG